Cinara cedri is the source of this 406-nucleotide non-coding RNA. The record is from the annotation of a GenBank genome assembly. Lineage: Eukaryota; Metazoa; Arthropoda; Insecta; Hemiptera; Aphididae.
ACAAAAACACAUACGAGAAUACAAAGCGCAUCACAUUACAGUUAAACAAUGUUUUUUUUAACCUUUUAGUCAUUUGCGUACCCAUUUGACCUCAUAAAAAUCAACGAAAUUACCUGAUAAUUGAAAUGAACAAAUACAAUCGUUUUGAACAAAUUGAAUAUUUUACUUUCGUACAUCUCUAGACUUUAUUAUCGAGAGCUUGGCCGGUGGGUUUGUGGUAGAGGGGGUUGAGAAACUCUGCACCUUACCAAUAUAAUAAUUACUCGCGAAAUAAUUUAGCAGUGACUAUAGUUCAUCUUUAUCGCAGCACAAACGAGAUAAUAAAUCAUUACGUCAAAACUAACCUAACCGUGAUAAAUGGCUAUGUGUGCGGGCGGGUAACGGUCGGAAAGGUCGGAUUAGGUUU